Molecule: ribosomal RNA, 374 nt
Filed under: uncultured organism
Description: partial 16S ribosomal RNA
Rfam family: Bacterial small subunit ribosomal RNA
Source: RNAcentral
GUAGGUGGCAAGCGUUGUCCGGAAUUAUUGGGCGUAAAGCGCGCGCAGGCGGUUCUUUAAGUCUGAUGUGAAAGCCCACGGCUCAACCGUGGAGGGUCAUUGGAAACUGGAGAACUUGAGUACAGAAGAGGAAAGAGGAAUUCCACGUGUAGCGGUGAAAUGCGUAGAGAUGUGGAGGAACACCAGUGGCGAAGGCGGCUUUCUGGUCUGUAACUGACGCUGAGGCGCGAAAGCGUGGGGAGCAAACAGGGAUUAGAUACCCUGGUAGUCCACGCCGUAAACGAUGAGUGCUAAGUGUUAGGGGGGUUUCCGCCCCCUUAGUGCUGCAGCUAACGCAUUAAGCACUCCGCCUGGGGAGUACGGCCGCAAGGCUG